This 392-nucleotide unclassified non-coding RNA is filed under the name soil metagenome. RNAcentral describes it as "partial contains 5.8S ribosomal RNA, internal transcribed spacer 2, and large subunit ribosomal RNA". The stretch from base 2 to 123 matches the Rfam family "5.8S ribosomal RNA", at positions 35 to 154 of the family's 154-position model. The record is from RNAcentral.
GGAUGAAGAACGUAGCGAAAUGCGAUACUUGGUGUGAAUUGCAGAAUCCCGUGAACCAUCGAGUCUUUGAACGCAAGUUGCGCCCGAAGCCACUAGGCCGAGGGCACGCCUGCCUGGGCGUCACACGCCGUUGCCCCCCCAUCUACUCCUUCGGGAUUGCGGGGGGGCGGAUGAUGGCCUCCCGUGCGCCUAGCCGCGCGGUUGGCAUAAAUACCAAGUCCUCGGCGACGCACGCCACGACAAUCGGUGGUUGCGAAACCUCGGUUGCCCGUCGUGUGCGUUCGUCGCGCAUCGAGGGCUCGAAAAAAUGCUCGGCUCCGGCUGGGCUUUCAACGCGACCCCAGGUCAGGCGGGGUUACCCGCUGAAUUUAAGCAUAUCAAUAAGCGGAGGA